This 74-nucleotide transfer RNA is filed under the name Acidimicrobiia bacterium. RNAcentral's name for it is "tRNA-Ile". It matches the Rfam family "tRNA". From Rfam's summary of the family: Transfer RNA (tRNA) molecules are approximately 80 nucleotides in length. Lineage: Bacteria; Bacillati; Actinomycetota; Acidimicrobiia. RNAcentral also lists the same sequence under 1 other name. The record is from RNAcentral.
GGGCCGGUAGCUCAGUCGGUUAGAGCAGCGGACUCAUAAUCCGUCGGUCGUGGGUUCGAGCCCCACCCGGCCCA